Tarenaya hassleriana is the source of this 1643-nucleotide long non-coding RNA. RefSeq lists it as uncharacterized. NCBI's taxonomy places the organism in Eukaryota, Viridiplantae, Streptophyta, Magnoliopsida, Brassicales, Cleomaceae. The transcript is spliced from 2 exons. The record is from RefSeq and is a predicted model, not a curated record.
CAUAGAAGACAUUUGCGGCACUGGCCGCAUUGCAAUCUCCCUUGCCUCCUUUUCCCUUUCCGGAUCUGCUCUCUCUCUCAAAACCAAAGAUGCCGCCGAGAUUGGCUUGUGCUGCAUCAGGUUUCGUUCGUACUCCUCUGUCGAACAAAGGUAUACUCAACACAUUCGUACGCUGUUCCACUGUUUUAUGCUAUCCGAGAUUGGCUUAUUCUGGUGUGAGAGACAGCGAUUUGUCGUACGGAGAGAGAUUGAGGUGUGGGUUUGGUAAUGGUGAUGUCGAUGAUGCUGUUGCUCUGUUCCAUCUGAUGGUUCGGUCUCGUUCCCCCCUCCCUUCAAUUAUCGACUUCAGUAAAUUAUUGAGUUCAGUCGUUAAGAUAGAAACGGUAGGAUAUAGUGAUUUCUCUCUGCAAGCAAAUGAAAUGGUUAGGAGUUUUGCAUGAUCUCUAUCAACUGUUUCUACCACUCAGAUCAAGUGGUUAGAACAUUUUCGGUUUUAGGGAAGAUCAUGACGUUGGUUUAUACGUGUGACGUUGUCACAUUUACUAACCUACUCAAUGGAUUCUACAUCGGGGCUGAAACUUCCGCUGUGCUAGGUUUGAUAGAGCUAAUGGUGGAGAAAGAUUGUCAACCCGAUAUAAUUUGGGCAUCAUGUUUUAGCUUUGGAUUUGAUCAAGAAGAUAGAUGAAAGAUGCAUUGAGGUCGAUGUCUUAACUUGUAUUACGAUUAUCGAUUGUCUUUGCAAAUUUGGAAACAAAUGAUGCAGAUAGCAUUUUUAGUAAGACGAUCGACAAAGGAGUUGCACCGGAUGUUAUCACCUACAAAGCUUUGAUAAACCGCAUUUGUGGUUUCGGUAGAUGGAAUGAUGCCACAUUAUUAUUGAAGGACAUGACCAAAAGGAAAAUCAAGCCUAAUGUUGUUAUUUUCAAUGGAUUACUCAACAUUUUUAUUAAAGACGGGAUAUUUCCAAAGGCUAACGAUGGAAAAGAGUGGGAUGGACUUCGAUAUAGUUGUAUUGUAUUAUUAUCAUUGUGUAAAGCUGAGAAGGUUGAUGAGUCAUUUCAGUUGUUCGAUAGACUUUUUGAUCAAAGGGCGGAACCGGAUAUGAAAACAUAUACUAUGGACUUUGUGGAAAAGGUUUACAAGGUGAAGCUCAAAGGCUGUUUAGAGAUACAAAAGAAGUUGAUUUUUUACCGGAUUAUUGCACGUGUAAUGCAAUCAUUCGUGGUCAGCUGAGGCAUGGUUCUACAUUGGAUGUUAUUGAGCUUAUAUGAGAAAUGUGAAGCCAUGAGUAUCAUGCUGAUGCAUCGGCAAUGAGUAUGGUAAUAGAUAUGGUAUCUGGUGGUAGAUUGGAGAAAGGGUUUGUGGAUCUUCUUUCUCAGUGAUUCGAUUAUCGCGAUGGUCACCUUGUACUCUCCCGUUUGGCAAUCACGGAGAGGUUAUCGAGCGCUGUUGGAGAUGGGAGGAGAUGGCAGAUUUUUCCUUCUUGCAUCUUGUACUUGAAACAUCAGUUUGAUUUCGUUUAACUGAAAUUGUACUUUGUUGUCAGUAACAUAAUAGGGUGGAUUCUCGUUCAACUUCUGUUUAGAAAUAAAAAAUGUAAUUGAGUAUUGCAUUUUCCCUAGAUUCUGUUUAUAUUUUCUUUA